UGGCUCUGGUUUCUCUUCAGUCAUGUGUGAAUCUUUUGCUCUUUAUUAAAGGUUUCUGUAGAGAGAAACAUCAAUGAGUUUGACGGGGUUUUUUUUGUAAGUUUUGCUCGGGCAAAGCU
This is a small nuclear RNA of Hemibagrus wyckioides, 119 nucleotides long. RefSeq annotates it as U5 spliceosomal RNA. NCBI's taxonomy places the organism in Eukaryota, Metazoa, Chordata, Actinopteri, Siluriformes, Bagridae. The transcript has a single exon. The record is from RefSeq and is a predicted model, not a curated record.